CACCCAUCAAAAACUCUUCCAAAUUUUCUGGUCGCAAAUGUUUUCUAGGAAAGACAAACUGCUUCCCAAACUCUAAUCUCGGGCUCUUCGAAAUGGUCGAAGUACCUGUGUCAAACACAACACGAUAUGGGUAUAGGAUAUGUGUCAAAUCCUUCAAAUUUCAACCAAACACUUUACCGCUUUUGUUUCUUUUUUUCUUUUUCUUCCUUCUUUUUUAUUCUUUUCCUUUUCUUUCUCGUUUCUACUCUCUAUAAACCUAACGUCGCCUCCGAGAGGACAGAGAAAGGUGACGGCGCUAGAUUUUCCCUCCUUUUUUCUUUUCUCCUUUCCUUUUCUUCUUGUUCGUUUUUUCCCUUCUUUCCCUCUCUAUAUUAGCGAUUUAGGAUUUUGUUUAUAUAAAAUGAAAAUUGAUUCCAUAAAGUGAUUCUUAGUGCUCCACUAAAUCUAAAUUGCAAUCAAAUUCCUCAUUUUCAAUUUUACAUAACAUUUAGUAAUUAACUUCCUAGAAUUGAAAACUAAACCCCAAAAUUCUAUUUUAUUCAUCUUAACCCCUUAUUCAAUACUCAUUUCCUUAUUUGUGAACAAUCGUUUUUGAUCUAUUCAAAAAGACAUCUUGGGCUAGUAAAAAAAUUGAAUCUUGAAAGACAUACUCACAUACUCGUGUCUGAAAUUUGGACACUUUUUAGCCAUAUCCCCAUAUUCUAUAUUUUAAAAAAUAAAAGAUCCGUCACUAAAAUACGUACCCAUACCCGUACCCAAGUCCAAGCAUCAUAGUUCUCAAAUACUGAACAUAGCUAAAGAAAAUUGGUAUGCCUUAAUAGAUGAUGGCAUGUUUGCUUGUAUAACAAUGAUGAGAAGAUCUCCCUCUGAAGGACAGAAAAUAUGUAGUUUAUAGUUGCAGCUUCUAAAUACUUAAGAUACUCAAAAUAAAACAUUUUUUUCUUUUGUUCUGAACAUAAAUCAAAAUAACAUCUAUGAUGUCUCACAUAAAUGCCCACCAUUAAACACAUAAAUUUCCAAUAAACUUGAGCCUCCGUUUAGCAAAAAUUUAUAAAUAAUUCAAUUUAUUAAUAGAUAGAAAUGAGUGAUGAAUAAGUGGAUAUAAUACUUAUGUGUCCACUGCAGUGUGUGGUUGAAAAUGAAAUUUAACUAUUUAUAAAUUUUUCCAAAUGGUGAGUUAACUAUAAUAAAUCAAUAAUAGCCUGCGUUGUGUUUGGCAGCAUGAAAUUUGGGCCUCGAAGUUGCAGUUAGUAGAACACUAUUUCAAAUUCUUAAUUGGGAACACCAAUUCCAGGCCGUUACAAGUUGCCAAACACAACCAGAGAAAACUACCUGCAAAGACUCAAAAGACUAUACAUUAAGGCGAUGCAGAAAUCGGAGUUACUUCUCUGUAAGGCUUUCAUUUUGAGAUUCAUUCGAUUAAAACACUAUAGUACAGCGACAGAGUCAAGGUUAGUGAUAAUGUAAAACAAAAUGGAACAAACAAAAGUACCUGAUAACUACUCAAUAAAAAGUCAAAUUCAAAAUUUAAAACAGAAACUAGGAUUAAACACUUGCUUAUAUUCAAAUUUCAUGUGGUUUGCAUAUUAUUUUGGUAAUCGCUGAUCUCUAUUAGAAUGAUGAUUGAGCAUACUUUUUAUUUUUAAUUUUUCCACAGGAAAUUUAAUCUUUAAACAAACAGAGACCUGAUAAGCUAAUUUUAUUUCCUUUAAUUGCAAAAGUUGAACCAGCUUGUUUCCGAUAGAAUCAUUAUGAAUAAAUAUAAAUUGAACGCGGAAAGGGGAGACGGAGAAAUCGAACCUUCAAUGGUCAUCGCCAUGUCUGCAAAUUGAAUGGACUAUUGAUUAUUAAAAGUCGACGCUCAAAUCUGAACGAAUUUGACUGAAUUGUUACUUCAAACAGGGGAAGGGGUUGAUGAAAGAGGAAAGAGGAAAGAGCAGCCGCGUUACAACCAAAUUUUGAUCAUUAG
This 1969-nucleotide long non-coding RNA is filed under the name Olea europaea subsp. europaea. Lineage: Eukaryota; Viridiplantae; Streptophyta; Magnoliopsida; Lamiales; Oleaceae. The record is from RNAcentral.